This 2157-nucleotide ribosomal RNA is filed under the name Candidatus Kaiserbacteria bacterium CG_4_10_14_0_2_um_filter_50_16. Its description in RNAcentral is "bacterial LSU rRNA". It matches the Rfam family "Bacterial large subunit ribosomal RNA", at positions 1 to 1943 of the family's 2925-position model. Lineage: Bacteria; Candidatus Kaiseribacteriota. The record is from RNAcentral.
AGACAUUAAGCGUGCACGGUGGAUGCCUUGGCCUAGGACGGCUAAGAAGGACGCGACUAACCUGCGAAAAGCUUCGGGGAGGCGGUUUGUAGCCUUUGAUCCGGAGAUAUCCGAAUGAGGAAACUCAUCCUGUUUUUAACGGGAUAUCACGACGGUAACACGUCGGGAAGCGAACCCGGGGAAGUGAAACAUCUCAGUACCCGGAGGAAAAGAGAACAAUAUGAGUUGCGUUCCGUCCUGACGAAAUUUAUUUCGAACGGAUGGAACGCAACUCUCGUGAUUCCCCUAGUAGCGGCGAGCGAAAAGGGGGAAGCCCAAACUGGGACCUGAAUUUAAGGUUCGACCUUAAUGAAUAAUUCACAAGGUCGAACCUUGGCUUCAGGUUCCAGGGUUGUAAGAUGUGAACACCCAAUUUAUUGGAAAAGAGUUACAAAAUGUCUGUAUAGCGGAAGCUGCUGGGAAGCAGCGCCCCAGAGGGUAAUGGCCCCGUACGCGAAAUACAUGAUGACUCUUGUUUAUAUUCUUGAGUAACUCGAGACACGAAUAGCUCGAGUGAAUCUGCCGGAACUAACCGGUAAGGCUGAAUACGUCCUAUGACCGAUAGUGAACUAGUACCGUGAGGGAAAGGUGAAAAGAACCCCGAGAGGGGAAUGAAAUAGACCUGAAACCGUGUACGUACAAGGGGUCGGAGUGGAUUCCCGCAAGGGUUUACCAUGACGGCAUGCCUAUUGAAGAAUGAGCCGGCGAGUGUAUAUAUCUUGCAUAGCUAAGCCCUUCCGGGGCGGAGCUUCAGGGAAACCGAGCGUGAAUAGCGCUACAAGUAGGAUAUAUACGACCCGAAGCCAGAUGAGCUUGCCAUGAGCAGGGUGAAGUCCGUCGAAAGACGAAUGGAGGCCCGAACCCGUAGGUCGUUCAACGCCUUGGGAUGACUUGUGGUAAGGAGUGAAAAGCUAAUCGAAUCUGGGAAUAGCUGGUUCUCUCCGAAACAGCUUUUGGGCUGGCGUUGCGAAAGGUGUGCAUGGGGGUAGAGCACUGGAAGGGACCAACAGGGAGAAAUCUCGUGGUUCCUAUCAAACUCCGAAUACCAUGCGCUCGCGCAGCAGUUAGAAGGUGGGGGCGAAGCUCCAUCGAUCGAGAGGGGAAGAGCCCUGAUCGCCAAUUAAGGCCCCAAAAUCGACAUUCAGUACAUCAACAAGGAAGUGAGGGUCCACUGACAGUGAGGAUGUUGGCUUAGAAGCAGCCACCAUUUAAAGAAAGCGUAACAGCUCACUCAUCGAGGAUCCUUGCGCCAAAGAUGAUCGGGGUUAAAUGUCGUGCCGAAAUUGCGGGUUCCGGAACAUCAGUUUGGAUUUAAAGGUCUGACUUUUUUGAAUUCUUAAAGUAAGACUUUGGAAUUCAAUCCAAACUGAUGUUCCGGAGCGGUAGGAGAGCGUUCCGUUCGCGCUGAAGCUUAAGGGGUAACCCAAGGUGGAGCGUACGGAAGUGAGAAUGCCGGUACAAGUAACCACAAUGCAGGUGAGAACCCUGCACGUCGAAAGACCAAGGUUUCCUCAGCUAUGGUGAUCAACUGAGGGUUAGUCGGGCCUAAGGGGAUGGCGAAAGCCGCACCCGAUGGACACACGGUCAAUAUUCCGUGACCGUUUUUAGAGGCUAUGGAGUGACGAACUGCUGUAUGCACUGCCGGUUAUUGGAUUCCGGUUGUUGGUAUGAGGGCGCGCGUUAGGCAAAUCCGGCGCGCACUAUCCCAAGUACUGACACAAUUUCCUCCUACGGGGGGAGAAAGAGCGCACAGCGCGGUUUCAAGAAAAUCUUCUACGCACCAACUCUAAAGACGACCGUACCGCACACCGACACAGGUGGUCAGGUCGAGAAGACUAAGACGAACGAGUAAGAUGUCCUCAAGGAACUCGGCAAAAAAGCGGCCGUAAGUUAGCGAUAAGGCCUUCCCUCACCACUUUUGAUGCUCAAAAGUGGCGAGGGACGCAGUGAAAGUUUUUCUGGCAACUGUUUACCAAAAACACAGCUCCCUGCAAACUCGUAAGAGGAAGUAUAGGGGGUGACACCUGACCAAUGCCGAAAGGUUAACCACGGUGGGUUCUUUAUAGCAAUAUAAAGAGCUGGACUGUGUAAGCCCCGGUGAAUGUCGGCGAUAACUAU